This 730-nucleotide unclassified non-coding RNA is filed under the name Corollospora gracilis. RNAcentral describes it as "partial miscellaneous RNA". The stretch from base 314 to 469 matches the Rfam family "5.8S ribosomal RNA". The record is from RNAcentral. Lineage: Eukaryota; Fungi; Ascomycota; Sordariomycetes; Microascales; Halosphaeriaceae.
CAACUCGGUCAGUUUAGAGGAAGUAAAAGUCCGUAACAAGGUCUCCGUUGCUGAACCAGCGGAUGCGAUCAUUAGCGACUCUCAGCGCUCCAAACCAUUGCGUACAGUCCCCUGCCGGCAGCCGUUGAUUCGGCGGGCAGGGACGGCGCCCGUCCUCUGUCGAGGGCCGGACGCCGCCCGGUCCGGAGGGCGGGGGGAGCACGCUCCCCCUGCCGCCGGGAACGCCCGCCGGCGGUGCCGAAACACAGACUGCAGUCUACACGCGGCCUGUCACCACUGACUGGCACGUCUAGCAAGCAAAGCAAGUAAACAGACUGUUCAACAACGGAUCUCUUGGCUCUGGCAUCGAUGAAGAUACGCAGCGAAAUGCGAUAAGUAAUGCGAAUUGCAGAUCUUCAGUGAAUCAUCGAAUCUUUGAACGCACAUUGCACCCGGCGGCACUCCGCCGGGUCUGCCUGUCCGAGCGUCGUUUCCGACCCUCGGGCGCCUCCGGGCGCCCGGUGUUGGGGAUCUGCAGCGCGCCCCUUCCGCGGGCCGCUGCAGGCCCCGAAAUACAGUGGCGGGCCCGCCGCUGGAACCCCCUGCGCAGUAAGCUACACCUUCUCGCAUCGGGCGCCGGCGGAGCCCUGCCGUCAAGCCGCCGGGGGGAGCACCUCGCUCCCCCGGGCACGAAACACUGUCGACCUCGGAUCAGGUAGGGUUACCCGCUGAACUUAAUGCAUAUCAAGUA